GUGGGCGCUAGGUGUGAGUCCCUUCCACGGGGUUCGUGCCGUAGCUAACGCAUUAAGCGCCCCGCCUGGGGAGUACGGCCGCAAGGCUAAAACUCAAAGGAAUUGACGGGGGCCCGCACAAGCGGCGGAGCAUGUGGAUUAAUUCGAUGCAACGCGAAGAACCUUACCUGGGCUUGACAUACACCAGACCGGGCCAGAGAUGGUCUUUCCCUUUGUGGUUGGUGUACAGGUGGUGCAUGGCUGUCGUCAG
Molecule: ribosomal RNA, 250 nt
Filed under: uncultured bacterium
Lineage: Bacteria
Description: partial 16S ribosomal RNA
Rfam family: Bacterial small subunit ribosomal RNA
Source: RNAcentral